Non-coding RNA from Paramisgurnus dabryanus, 490 nucleotides. The record is from RefSeq and is a predicted model, not a curated record. Lineage: Eukaryota; Metazoa; Chordata; Actinopteri; Cypriniformes; Cobitidae.
GAAAAUGUAGGAGUGGCGCGACUGAUGUUUACAACACGGGGAACAGAGAAUGCCAGCUUCAUUGCUGGAAAGAGUGUGCACAAUCAGAGGAUUGAGCGCCUUUGGCGGGAUGUUCGAAUGUGUGCCACUGGAGUGUAUUAUGACAUUCUACAUCAUCUUGAGGACUGUGGAUAUCUUGAUAUAAGCAACUUCACCCACCUCUUUUGCUGUCAUUAUGUUUUUUUACCACGCAUACAGGCCAGCCUGGAUGCUUUCAGAGAUGCUUAGGAUAACCAUUCCCUGAGGACAGAGAACAACCUGACCCCAAAUCAGCUAUGGGAGGUCGGGCAGUAUCAGAAUCCAAUAAGUGAUCCUGAGAUACAGCUUUCAGACUCUGCUGAACAAGAAAGUGGAGAUUCUGAAGAGGAUCACUUCGGAGUCAAUGUGCCUGCAAUACCUUUGUUGCAACUCACAAAUGAGCAAAUUGAGCAGCUUACAUCACACAUAUACC